This 365-nucleotide ribosomal RNA is filed under the name uncultured eukaryote. RNAcentral's name for it is "partial 18S ribosomal RNA". It matches the Rfam family "Eukaryotic small subunit ribosomal RNA", at positions 592 to 976 of the family's 1831-position model. The record is from RNAcentral.
CAAUAGCGUAUAUUAAAGUUGUUGCAGUUAAAAAGCUCGUAGUUGAACUUCUGUCUGCGGCUUCAGCAGGCUUCGGUCGCUGAAGUCACGGUCAUCCGCUUGGGAACUACGUUCGGGCUUAAUUGUUCGGCGUAAGGAACAGGCAUUUUACUUUGAAAAAAUUAGAGUGUUCAAGGCAGGCUAUCGCCCUGAAUACACAAGCAUGGAAUAAUGAAAUAGGACUACUUCCAUUUUAUUGGUUAUUGGAAAUAGUAAUGAUUAAUAGGGACAGUUGGGGCAUUAGUAUUUAAUUGUCAGAGGUGAAAUUCUUGGAUUUAUUAAAGACUAACUUAUGCGAAAGCAUUUGCCAAGGAUGUUUUCAUUAA